This 1166-nucleotide ribosomal RNA is filed under the name Vibrio breoganii ZF-55. RNAcentral's name for it is "bacterial LSU rRNA". It matches the Rfam family "Bacterial large subunit ribosomal RNA", at positions 1 to 1216 of the family's 2925-position model. Lineage: Bacteria; Pseudomonadati; Pseudomonadota; Gammaproteobacteria; Vibrionales; Vibrionaceae. The record is from RNAcentral. RNAcentral also lists the same sequence under 2 other names.
GUUGUAUGGUUAAGUGACUAAGCGUACACGGUGGAUGCCUUGGCAGUCAGAGGCGAUGAAAGACGUAAUAACUUGCGAUAAGCCCAGAUUAGGUAGUAAUAACCAUUUGAGUCUGGGAUUUCUGAAUGGGGAAACCCACGUGCAUAAGCACGUAUCAUUAACUGAAUACAUAGGUUAAUGAGGCAAACUCGGGGAACUGAAACAUCUAAGUACCCGAAGGAAGAGAAAUCAACCGAGAUUCCGAAAGUAGCGGCGAGCGAAAUUGGAUUAGCCCUUAAGCUUUUAAUGCGUCAGGUGAAGAGUCUGGAAAGUCUCGCAGUAUAGGGUGAUAGCCCCGUAACCGACAACGCAUUUUAAGUGAAAACGAGUAAGGCGGGACACGUGAUAUCCUGUUUGAACAUGGGGGGACCAUCCUCCAAGGCUAAAUACUACUGACUGACCGAUAGUGAACCAGUACCGUGAGGGAAAGGCGAAAAGAACCCCUGUGAGGGGAGUGAAAUAGAACCUGAAACCGUGUACGUACAAGCAGUAGGAGCGCCUCGAAGCGUGACUGCGUACCUUUUGUAUAAUGGGUCAGCGACUUAAUUUUAGUAGCAAGGUUAACCGUAUAGGGGAGCCGUAGGGAAACCGAGUCUUAACUGGGCGUCGAGUUGCUAGAAUUAGACCCGAAACCAGGUGAUCUAGCCAUGGGCAGGUUGAAGGUUGAGUAACAUCAACUGGAGGACCGAACCGACUAAUGUUGAAAAAUUAGCGGAUGACUUGUGGCUAGGGGUGAAAGGCCAAUCAAACCUGGAGAUAGCUGGUUCUCCCCGAAAGCUAUUUAGGUAGCGCCUCGGACGAAUACCAAUGGGGGUAGAGCACUGUUAAGGCUAGGGGGUCAUCCCGACUUACCAACCCUUUGCAAACUCCGAAUACCAUUGAGUACUAUCCGGGAGACACACGGCGGGUGCUAACGUCCGUCGUGGAGAGGGAAACAACCCAGACCGCCAGCUAAGGUCCCAAAGUAUAGCUAAGUGGGAAACGAUGUGGGAAGGCUCAGACAGCCAGGAUGUUGGCUUAGAAGCAGCCAUCAUUUAAAGAAAGCGUAAUAGCUCACUGGUCGAGUCGGCCUGCGCGGAAGAUGUAACGGGGCUAAGCUAUACACCGAAGCUGCGGCUGCAUACUUU